AAGGGAGACCUAAUUCGGGUAUAAGACGAAAAAAGAGUAGUCGAAACCAAGAAUCAAUCCCAAAAGGUCGGAACGAGGUAUGUGGCUUUCAAACUAGGUUCUGGGUUCACACAAGACCUGAGUCAGGAACAAGGGCUAUUAGCUCAGGUGGUUAGAGCGCACCCCUGAUAAGGGUGAGGUCCCUGGUUCGAGUCCAGGAUGGCCCACCUGCACAGGUGGCAAAAACAAAGAAGCGAGGAAUCAGCACCUUAUCUUAUCUAUAUAUAAGAGAGAAUGCUGGCUCUGAGUAAAGAGUCCAGAGGAACCUUGAAAACUGCAUAGAGCUAGGUGAAAAAGCCAAAAAAGAAGACCGCAA
This 355-nucleotide transfer RNA is filed under the name Microcystis aeruginosa MP04C1. RNAcentral describes it as "partial 16S-23S ribosomal RNA intergenic spacer". The stretch from base 133 to 206 matches the Rfam family "tRNA". Lineage: Bacteria; Bacillati; Cyanobacteriota; Cyanophyceae; Chroococcales; Microcystaceae. The record is from RNAcentral.